RNAcentral lists this ribosomal RNA (458 nucleotides) under uncultured bacterium. Its description in RNAcentral is "partial 16S ribosomal RNA". It matches the Rfam family "Bacterial small subunit ribosomal RNA", at positions 338 to 795 of the family's 1533-position model. The record is from RNAcentral.
CCUACGGGUGGCAGCAGUGAGGAAUAUUGGUCAAUGGGCGAGAGCCUGAACCAGCCAAGUAGCGUGAGGGAGUACUGCCCUAUGGGUUGUAAACCUCUUUUGUAGAGGAGUAAAGCCGGACGUGUCCGGCUGUGAGAGUACCCGUUGUAAAAGCAUCGGCUAACUCCGUGCCAGAAGCCGCGGUAAUAUGGAGGGUGCGAGCGUUAAUCGGAAUUACUGGGCGUAAAGCGCGCGUAGGUGGUAUGUCAAGUCACGGGUGAAAGCCCCGCGCGCAACGGUGGAACUGCAUUUGAAACUGGCAAACUUGAGUGCGUGAGAGGAUAGUGGAAUUCCAGGUGUAGGAGUGAAAUCCGUAGAUAUCUGGAGGAACAUCAGUGGCGAAGGCGACUAUCUAGCACAUAACUGACGCUGAUGAGCGAAAGCGUGGGUAUCAAACAGGAUUAGAUACCCUUGUAGUC